UAUGCCCCUUUACUACUUCGCCAAUAGAUGGCGCCAAACGCUACGGUCCUGCGCGUACUUCCGGUAUAUUACGCGAUUCAUAGACAUUUGCACGACCAACAACUACAACGAAGUAUUUACGAUGCCUUCGACGUGCUGCUGUGUCCCGGGAUGCUGCAAUCGAGGUGGUUUGUCGUUUCCGAGAGAACCCAUGUUGCUGAAACGAUGGUUGAUAGCUAUUCGGAGGAGCGACGAAUCAAACCAAGGCAAGAUGUGGAAACCGUCACCUCACAGUGUUGUGUGUCAUUCCCACUUCAGACCGUCUGAUUUCAUUGCUGUAACUAGUUAUGGUGCUUGUUUUCCACAGAGAUGAGGCACAGAUGAUUCAAGAAUACAGGGUGUACACCUCUGAGGAAACAGAGAAAACCAGAUGCUGUACCAUCAAUCUUUCCCUGGACUGCAUCAGCCAACGCACUUGAGGCCGAUGGAGGAUUAAGGAAAUCCCGCAUUGAAAGACGUGAGAGCCAAAAGAGGACAUUUAAAGCAAUGGAUACAGAUUGUGAUAUUGAAUGUGAUCUCAGUGAGGUAGCUGGGGAGGAAAUAAUUGACAAUGUUGAGUUUGAUGACAUGAAUACCGACUUAAACAUUUGUUCUGCAGAUAGUGCAGAGGUUGAAUAUGAAAGUACAUCAGCUCAGACAGACAAAUUUCCAAUGCUUUCAUUACAAAGUAUUAUGUUUAAUGCUGCAGCAAUUUUGUUUUAUACAGGACUGUCAAACUAUACAGACUUCACCUUUGUACUUGCAAGUUUGGGUCCUUGUGCAUAUCACCUAAAUUAUUUGUACAGCAAAGUUGACAGUAUGACUAUCAGUGUGGAAAAUCAAUUGCUUUUAACACUUAUGAAACUGCGCCGACAUAAGACUAACUUUGAACUUGGUCUUCAUUUUGGAAUUUCAGAGAAAACUGUAUUAAAUGUAUGGAUCACCUGGGUAAAUUUUAUGUAAAGACAGUGGAGUGAGCUUGAUAACUGGCCAGAACGAGACUUAGUGCACUAUUUUUGUCCUUCUGAUUUCAAAUCCAAAUUUCCAUCCACACGAAUUAUCAUUGAUGGUACUGAAUGCCCUAUCCAGAAACCAAAACGCCCCAUAGCUCAGCAGUCUACAUACUCAACGUAUAAAAAUCGAAAUACUAUCAAAAUACUUGUUGGAUCCACACCAGGUGGUCUUGUGUCAUACGUGUCUCCUGCGUAUGGUGGCUCCACAAGUGAUCGUCAAAUAGUAGAGCGUAGUGGUUUGACAGUGAUGUGUGACCCAGGAGAUAGUAUUAUGGCCGAUAAAGGUUUCAACGUACAAUAUAUUUUUGCACCAAAAGAUGUUACCAUUAAUAUGCCAACAUUCUUCUCAAAGAAAAACCGUAUGUCUGGCAAGACUGUUAUGCGUGAUAGGAAAAUAUCAAGCAAAAGAGUUCACAUUGAACGUAUUAUUGGUCUGGCAAAAACAUUCAAAAUACUCACUGAACCUCUUAACAGUUCAGAAACCAAAUUAGCCACAGAAAUAACCACGGUUUGCUUCAUGCUUUGUUCUUUCAAAAAGUGCAUUGUUCCCACUACUUGCUAAUCAUUAAAAAUAUCUUUGAUUCCAGGCGGACGUUAGUCAGACGUAGAGUAUGGAGAUUUGUUUCUAAUUUCUUUCAAAAAGGCCUGUUAUUUGCGUUUGCUACAUGAUUAAAGAUAAUUGUUGCUAAAUAUUCAUGAGGAUAAAGUUGAAUGUAACAUGUUAUCGAUUAUGUAUCAUGUUGAGACUAGAAUGGGAAUCUGUGGUCAAAAAGCAAGUUUGAAGCAAAUUUACCAUUUGUGCAGCCACAAUCUAUCAUACUCUUUUGUCAAGGUACAAACAUAAAUGUGUUAGUAUCAGAGAUUAUGAUAAUGUAAUGCUAAACGUCCUGUUCAAUGUGGUGUUAAACCCAUCUCACUCACUGAAUUUGUUUUACAUUUAUGACAUCAGUGACAUGAAUUUAAGAAUGUUGACAUUGUUUGGUGCGUACUGUUACAUUAUCCCCUGCCACAAAGUGGGAGAGACACAUUUCUUGUCCGAGCAUAAUUCGGAAACUGUUUCAUAUGUCAUUAUGAAACUUUGCACAUGUAUCAAACACAAGUUGAACUGGUGCCCUUUCCUGUUUUCCAUGGCAGCAAUUUGGAUUAAACCCAAAUACUGGUUGCUUUUAUUUCACGAACUUAAAAUCUGAAUAAGUUGAAGUGUAUAUUUCUGGAUCAUAUAUCCAUUAUUUUUUCAAUGGAUACAUGUUUACUGAGAAACAAAUUGUAAUUUAUUGUGUCCCAUGGCUGUGUAUUCUUGUUUCAUAUGAUACUGGCAGCAGCUAGACCGGUCCAGAUAUUUGGCACAUCUUAGUGCUGUUGCUUCAGCUCUCUCAGAUGUUAUAAAAGGCAAUCAUGACAAGAAAGAAGUCAAUGACAAUGUUUUUUUAUCAUUCCCUCAAACAGUUCAGCUGCAGAUAAUAAUCACAUGACAGUUGUAAUUCCUCAGAUAUAGAGCUGAAGGAGUAUGCUUCAAGCAGUGAUGAUAUUUAUGAGUAUGGACACUGAAUUGUGAUUAUGUAUUGCACUGUAUUGCACUGCUUCAUCUAUAUUUAGAUCUUCCAACUAUUAACUACUGGAGUACUUAACAGAUGGUUGCCAUCGUCACAAAAGGAGUUAAAAGUUAAUGUCACAUCAAUACUAUUUCAGCCAUAUAGCGACAAGACCAAGUUGAUAUACACAAUUUACUCAUGAAUGCAAAGGUAUAUUUAAAAACAUUUUUUCAUACACAUUUGGACAUAACAAUAUUUAUACAGUUUUAAAACACGGGUUAUAGGCCAUCAGAAACCAAAGCUAGGCCACCUCACCGGGGAUCAUGGGGACUUACGGUGCCUCUGCUUCCUGCACGAUACCCCAGCAGGAUUUAUGUCAUUAACUAAGCCACUGGUGGUUGUGCUCAAUACUAGCCAGUCAGCAAUGAUGUCAGUUGAUUAUAGCAUCACAUCAAAUUUAAAAACAGGCAAUUAAUGAUUCACAUACAUAUUUAGAUUAUUUUUUUUUACAGACCAUUUUUUCUUUCAAGUAGUUGAUAAUGAGGUGCCUGGUCAUAUAGUACUUUAUCAUCCAAAACUGGCUCCCACAGGAGAUAUCGCUUGGAUGAGAUCAAGCGAUAUCUACACUGUAGAUAUCGCUGCAAUGAAAUUACAUCGGGUGAGAUUCUCUAUGUAACAGUAAGUAUGAACUGACAUCUGAGAUUGUAUUUAUUUAGACUAGUGAAUGCAUCCAUGUAUGGGACCAGUGUGUACGUUGUGAUAUUUAGAUUAUCCAACUUAUAAAUACUGGAGUGAUUAAGAGAUGGAUGCCAUUGUCACAUAGUACUGUAACAGUAAGUACUAAAUGUCUUAAUAAACAUCUGAGAUUGUAUUUAUUUACACAAGUGAAUACAUCAAUGUAUGGGACCAGAGUUCAACCUGGUUUUGUCUGAUGCAACUCUUUUCACGUCAACAUGCAUCUGGUGAAAUAUCAUCCUUAAAUGGAGCCCCGCAAGUUUUUUCAUAACUUUUUGUUUGUGAAUGUCCAUAUAUGCAGAAUAUAAUAUGUUCAGCAUUAAACAUUGAGACUACAA
This 3636-nucleotide long non-coding RNA is filed under the name Haliotis rufescens (red abalone). RNAcentral's name for it is "uncharacterized LOC124147892". The record is from RNAcentral. Lineage: Eukaryota; Metazoa; Mollusca; Gastropoda; Lepetellida; Haliotidae.